Molecule: ribosomal RNA, 763 nt
Filed under: uncultured bacterium
Lineage: Bacteria
Description: bacterial SSU rRNA
Rfam family: Bacterial small subunit ribosomal RNA
Source: RNAcentral
GAACGCUGGCGGCGUGCCUAAUGCAUGCAAGUCGAGCGACGCAUACCGGAGGGGUAACCCACUGGUAUGACGGAGCGGCGAACGGGUGAGUAACACUUGAGCAACCUGCCCCACAGAUCGGGAUAGCCCAGGGAAACCUGGAUUAAUACCGAAUAUCCUCGGAGGACCGCAUGGUCCGCUGAGGAAAUGCCUUUGUGCUGUGGGAUGGGCUCGAGGCUUAUCAGCUAGUUGGUGGGGUAACGGCCUACCAAGGCAUCGACGAGUAGCUGGUCUGAGAGGACGAUCAGCCACACUGGGACUGAGACACGGCCCAGACUCCUACGGGAGGCAGCAGCAGGGAAUCUUGCGCAAUGGGCGAAAGCCUGACGCAGCAACGCCGCGUGGGGGAUGAAGGCCUUCGGGUUGUAAACCCCUUUCAGGAGGGAAGAAAUUGACGGUACCUCCAAAAGAAGCACCGGCCAACUACGUGCCAGCAGCCGCGGUAAUACGUAGGGUGCGAGCGUUAUCCGGAAUCAUUGGGCGUAAAGAGCUCGUAGGCGGUUCAGCAAGUCGGCUGUGAAAUUCCGAGGCUCAACCUCGGAACUGCAGUCGAUACUGCUGUGACUCGAGUCCGGUAGAGGAGAAUGGAAUUCCCGGUGUAGCGGUGAAAUGCGCAGAUAUCGGGAGGAACACCAGUAGCGAAGGCGGUUCUCUGGGCCGGCACUGACGCUGAGGAGCGAAAGCGUGGGUAGCAAACAGGAUUAGAUACCCUGGUAGUCCACGC